UUAUGUUCUGGAUACUUGUGGUGUGCUCCUGUAAUCUAGCUACUCAGAGGCUUGGUUGGUUGGCCGGUUUGAGGAUGGGAGUCCUGGUAGUCGGUCUUCUAUGGCGAUCGGGUGUCCGUGCUAAGCUCGGCAUCAAUAUGGUGCUGGAGAGGGAGCUUAUCAGGACCAGGUUGUCUAAGGAGGGUCGCUUCAGCCCAGGGCGGAAACGCAGCAGGCAAAAGGCCCCGUGUCGAGCAGUAGUGGGAUCGCGCCUGUGAAUAGUUGUCAGUUAGCAGCCUGUUCGAUACAACUGAACACCAA
Octopus sinensis (East Asian common octopus) is the source of this 300-nucleotide long non-coding RNA. RefSeq lists it as uncharacterized. Lineage: Eukaryota; Metazoa; Mollusca; Cephalopoda; Octopoda; Octopodidae. The transcript is spliced from 3 exons. The record is from RefSeq and is a predicted model, not a curated record.